This 495-nucleotide ribosomal RNA is filed under the name uncultured bacterium. Its description in RNAcentral is "partial 16S ribosomal RNA". It matches the Rfam family "Bacterial small subunit ribosomal RNA", at positions 28 to 505 of the family's 1533-position model. The record is from RNAcentral.
GAUGAACGCUGGCGGCGUGCCUAAUACAUGCAAGUCGAGCGAACGGACGAGAAGCUUGCUUCUCUGAUGUUAGCGGCGGACGGGUGAGUAACACGUGGAUAACCUACCUAUAAGACUGGGAUAACUUCGGGAAACCGUAGCUAAUACCGGAUAAUAUUUUGAACCGCAUGGUUCAAAAGUGAAAGACGGUCUUGCUGUCACUUAUAGAUGGAUCCGCGCUGCAUUAGCUAGUUGGUAAGGUAACGGCUUACCAAGGCAACGAUGCAUAGCCGACCUGAGAGGGUGAUCGGCAACACGGGCACUGAGACACGGCCCACACUCCUACGGGGGACAGCAGUAGGAAAUUGGCCGCAAGGGGCGAAAGCCUGACGGAGCAACGCCGCGUGAGUGAUGAAGGUCUUCGGAUCGUAAAACUCUUUUAUUGGGGAAAAAAAUAUGUGUAAGUAACUGUGCACAUCGUGACGGUACCUAAACAGAAAGCCACGGCUAACUGCG